Dreissena polymorpha is the source of this 1509-nucleotide long non-coding RNA. RefSeq lists it as uncharacterized. The record is from RefSeq and is a predicted model, not a curated record. The transcript has 4 exons. NCBI's taxonomy places the organism in Eukaryota, Metazoa, Mollusca, Bivalvia, Myida, Dreissenidae.
AAGUGCCAUCAAAAUUAAAAAACUGAAAAUUUAAAUAAAGAACCAAUGUUUUGUUUUUAAUUCUUUUUCAGGGGGAGAUGUUUGUUUAUCAAAAUCACGUCUGCUUUUAUGAGCUUGCUGGUUUUUCAGCUUCAUAUAGAUAAAAUAAAGAUUCAUGUCUGCUGUAAUCGUCAAUUAUUUACCUGUGUGUGAUGUCAUGAGACAACUGUGCUUUCCCUGCAUAUGAGGAAACAACUGUAUAUAACAAAAAAUGAGCCUGGAAGUAACCAUUAUAGACACAACUAAAAAGGUGUGUGUCAUCUGUGGAGAGCAUGAUGACCGUCAAGUUUCAAAACUUGGAGAAAAGGGAUGUCAAGGACUUUCAUUAGCUGCAAAAAACUAUAAAGGUUGUGACACCACAUCGAGGAUAUAUGGUAUUGGAAAGGGUGUUGUUCUGAAAAAAGCUUUGAAUGAGUCGAACUUCAAAAACCAAGCAAAAGUUUUUAUGAACACUUCUUCACAUUCUACAAUUGAGGAAGCAGGAGAAAACGCAUUCAAAUGUGUUUACAACGGAAAUCAGAUUGAGGAUUUGGACGCUCUUCGAUUUAGAAAAUUUGUGCAAAAGGUUAACACAAGUAACAAUGUGGUACAAGUUGAAACUCUUCCUCCAACUAAGGCGGCAGCAAGGUUUCAUAGCUUUAGAACAUAUUUACAAGUCCAAACCUGGGUCGGUAGUGAACUAAAUCCAUUAGAGUGGGGCUGGAGAAAAGAGAAUGACGUGUUGACACCUGUAAAGUGUAAUAUGAUAGCAGCGCCUGAGCGGUUAUUAAAUGUCUUACAAUGUAACUGUAAAACCGGUUGUGAUACCAAACGAUGUAGCUGUCGGAAACAUGGUUUAAAAUGCACGGAUUGUUGUGGUGAAUGCAAAGGAACAAGUUGUAGUAACGUACAGUCAAUUAUUGAAGAGCUGGAUAUCUAGAAUUAAGAAAAAAAUCAGAUAUCUUUCAAUGUAAAUGCAAUUGGUAAAGUGUUUAACAUAAACCAUCAAAUGUUUUGUAACUUGACAUAAGCAAAGCAUAGUUGCUCAGCUAGUAGUGUUAAUUGUUACGUAACAUCCUUUUUUUAAAUUCAAAUCAAUAAUGAGAUGAGAUUGUAUAUUUCUAACACACUUUCGGUGUUAAAUGUUUUAAUAUAUAUCAUAUUAUAUUAUAUAUAAUAUUAUAUUAUACCAAAACUGUAAUGUAGCUUGAAUAUUGCAAUUAACAAAGAAUUAUUGUUAAGUUGUUAAUGCUAGUUGUUAUGUUUUAAUUAUUCAAUAAGCAUAUUGAAAAUGCAGAAAUAUCUUGAUUAUAAAAAAACUUCAUCGAAUUAACGCAAAGUUCGAUUUUUUAGUCAAUUUGUCAUAAUAUGUUGAAUGAAAUAUUUUCAUGUUAACAUUGAGCUAAAUCAACUGUCAUACAUUUAGAGUUCUCUUUCAUGCAAAGUCUAAGAAUGAACUAUGAUUGAUUAGUAUAAUUGCUAGCCUUUAAA